UGGAUCUUAGUGGCGAACGGGUGAGUAACGCGUAGGCAAUCUGCCUUCUAGAUGGGGACAACAUCCCGAAAGGGGUGCUAAUACCGAAUGUUGUAGUUGGUUCGCAUGGACUAGCUACUAAAGGUGGCCUCUGAAUAUGCUACCGCUAGAAGAUGAGCCUGCGUCUGAUUAGCUAGUUGGAGGGGUAACGGCCCACCAAGGCUUCGAUCAGUAGCCGGUCUGAGAGGAUGAACGGCCACACUGGGACUGAGACACGGCCCAGACUCCUACGGGAGGCAGCAGUGGGGAAUCUUCCGCAAUGGACGAAAGUCUGACGGAGCAACGCCGCGUGAGUGAAGAAGGUUUUCGGAUCGUAAAGCUCUUUCGUUAGGGACGAACGUGCUCUUUGUGAAUAAUGAGGAGUAAUGACGG
This 411-nucleotide ribosomal RNA is filed under the name uncultured Anaeromusa sp. RNAcentral's name for it is "partial 16S ribosomal RNA". It matches the Rfam family "Bacterial small subunit ribosomal RNA", at positions 86 to 475 of the family's 1533-position model. Lineage: Bacteria; Bacillati; Bacillota; Negativicutes; Selenomonadales; Sporomusaceae. The record is from RNAcentral.